Molecule: long non-coding RNA, 1035 nt
Organism: Beta vulgaris subsp. vulgaris (sugar beet)
Lineage: Eukaryota; Viridiplantae; Streptophyta; Magnoliopsida; Caryophyllales; Amaranthaceae
Exons: 4
Source: RefSeq, a predicted model, not a curated record
GUUCCACGCCAACUUCACCAGCUCCAUUUCCAUUCCUCUGUUUCCUUCUGCCUUCACCAUCUCCAUUCCCCUUCUCUAACUUCUUGGUGCCUGCGAUUCACCAUCGUCACCUGCCAAAAAUCGCCGGCUAAUCACCCCUACCAUCAUUCGCACUUAUUCCCUCUGUCAAACCACAAAAAGGCUCCAGCUUUUCCUCUUUAUCUCUUCUCUCUCAUGUUUCUUUGACUCUCUCUCUCCUUUUUUGCCAUUACAGGAUCAGACGCCAUUGUUGCCGGCGAAAAGAAAGAAAAAGAAGGGUUGAGUUUGUGCGAAAGAGCGAUUUUUAGAGUCCGGAUCUCUAGAGCGAUUCAACUGAUCAUCCUGCUCAUGUCUUCCUUCGUCGCGGCUUCUUCUUUGCUCAUCGUGAUUUGAGUGAGUUACUUUUCAAACCCAGAAGAAAUUCAACCCCUCAAAAAUUUUCGAUGAUCAGCCGGCCCAUCUCCCUCCUUUUCAGCAGCAGCGGCUUUCGAUUAUUGGCUUUAUAUUUCAAGGGCUUGAUCUUGAUCUCUUGAAGGAGGUUUGAAGCUGAAGAAAUCUGUUUUGUUAUGCUGAUAUUUAGGAUGGGUUUGUAUUUUAUGGAUGGGACCAGACACCAAAGAUUAGUAUGGUGUUUCACUCCCUAGAAUCAGACAUUGGCCCUCUCUUGUGCUUGCUCGAGCAUCUCAACUCUCUCAAGACUGGCUAAAGUUUUCUUCAUACAAAGAACAAGCGAUCCAUCACAAAUGGCGGGCAAAUCAGUAAUGAGACAGCUCGGACAUAGCUUAUUGUCCUCGUUGAAGUACACAUUUAAAGUUGAUAAGAGGAAUACAACUUUGAGGCCUACUCAGGGAUAUGCUUAUAGUUUUACAACGCUAUUAGCUGACCUUAAUCCUGAUAGUCGGAGCAGGUGAGGCUUUUUUCCGUAGAUGCAUGAAUUGUUUUUUGUUUGUGUUUAAGUUGAUUAUAAUUAUAUGAGCAGUUUGUUUGUCUGUUCUCCGAUGAUUUACUUUUAACCUG